UAGUGGCGAACGGGUGAGUAACACGUGGGCAAUCUGCCCUGCACUCUGGGACAAGCCCUGGAAACGGGGUCUAAUACCGGAUACAACCACCGGCCGCAUGGUCUGGUGGUGGAAAGCUCCGGCGGUGCAGGAUGAGCCCGCGGCCUAUCAGCUUGUUGGUGAGGUAGAAGCUCACCAAGGCGACGACGGGUAGCCGGCCUGAGAGGGCGACCGGCCACACUGGGACUGAGACACGGCCCAGACUCCUACGGGAGGCAGCAGUGGGGAAUAUUGCACAAUGGGCGAAAGCCUGAUGCAGCGACGCCGCGUGAGGGAUGACGGCCUUCGGGUUGUAAACCUCUUUCAGCAGGGAAGAAGCGAAAGUGACGGUACCUGCAGAAGAAGCGCCGGCUAACUACGUGCCAGCAGCCGCGGUAAUACGUAGGGCGCAAGCGUUGUCCGGAAUUAUUGGGCGUAAAGAGCUCGUAGGCGGCUUGUCACGUCGGUUGUGAAAGCCCGGGGCUUAACCCCGGGUCUGCAGUCGAUACGGGCAGGCUAGAGUUCGGUAGGGGAGAUCGGAAUUCCUGGUGUAGCGGUGAAAUGCGCAGAUAUCAGGAGGAACACCGGUGGCGAAGGCGGAUCUCUGGGCCGAUACUGACGCUGAGGAGCGAAAGCGUGGGGAGCGAACAGGAUUAGAUACCCUGGUAGUCCACGCCGUAAACGGUGGGCACUAGGUGUGGG
RNAcentral lists this ribosomal RNA (720 nucleotides) under Streptomyces sp. UTMC 676. Its description in RNAcentral is "bacterial SSU rRNA". It matches the Rfam family "Bacterial small subunit ribosomal RNA", at positions 93 to 826 of the family's 1533-position model. Lineage: Bacteria; Bacillati; Actinomycetota; Actinomycetes; Kitasatosporales; Streptomycetaceae. The record is from RNAcentral.